RNAcentral lists this ribosomal RNA (687 nucleotides) under uncultured Tomentellopsis. Its description in RNAcentral is "eukaryotic LSU rRNA". The stretch from base 244 to 397 matches the Rfam family "5.8S ribosomal RNA". The record is from RNAcentral. Lineage: Eukaryota; Fungi; Basidiomycota; Agaricomycetes; Thelephorales; Thelephoraceae.
UCCGUAGGNGAACGUGNGGANGGAUCAUUAAUGAAAUGUUUGCNGAGAAGGGUUGUAGCUGGCNUCCAGGGGCAUGUGCACACCCUGAUCGCAUCCACCUCCCACACCUGUGCACCGCCUGUAGCUUGGGAUGAUCACGGAGCCCUGAUGGGUGACGAAUGCCCUCGUCUACGAAUAUUCUCACACACGCUCAAAGUAUGACAGAAUGUACAUCAUAUUGCGUCUGAUAAACGCGACAAAUACAACUUUCAACAACGGAUCUCUUGGCUCUCGCAUCGAUGAAGAACGCAGCGAAAUGCGAUAAGUAAUGUGAAUUGCAGAAUUCAGUGAAUCAUCGAAUCUUUGAACGCACCUUGCGCUCCUUGGUAUUCCGAGGAGCAUGCCUGUUUGAGUGUUAUGAAAUUCUCAACUGCCCCCAGGCUUUGUGGCCUGCAGGUGAAGUUGGACUUGGAGGUAUGCUGGCGCAUGAAUGGGCUUUGUGGCCCUGCCUUGCUUGUUGGCUCCUCUUGAAUGCAUGAGCUUUCCAAUCCUUGGCAAAGUAUCGUCGAUGUGAUAAUUGUCUACGUCGCCCGAGAAAGCCGAAAGGGGAAAUCUUUGAUCACGCCAGGGUGACCUGCGUCUGACAAAUUCGACCUCAAAUCANGUAGGACUACCCGCUGAACUUAANCAUAUCAAUAAGCGGANGAA